RNAcentral lists this ribosomal RNA (404 nucleotides) under uncultured Albidovulum sp. Its description in RNAcentral is "bacterial SSU rRNA". It matches the Rfam family "Bacterial small subunit ribosomal RNA", at positions 355 to 776 of the family's 1533-position model. The record is from RNAcentral. Lineage: Bacteria; Pseudomonadati; Pseudomonadota; Alphaproteobacteria; Rhodobacterales; Paracoccaceae.
UGGGGAAUCUUGGACAAUGGGGGCAACCCUGAUCCAGCCAUGCCGCGUGAGUGAUGAAGGCCCUAGGGUUGUAAAGCUCUUUCAACGGUGAAGAUAAUGACGGUAACCGUAGAAGAAGCCCCGGCUAACUCCGUGCCAGCAGCCGCGGUAAUACGGAGGGGGCUAGCGUUGUUCGGAAUUACUGGGCGUAAAGCGCGCGUAGGCGGAUUUGUCAGUCAGGGGUGAAAUCCCGGAGCUCAACUCCGGAACUGCCUCUGAUACUGCAAGUCUUGAGUUCUGGAGAGGUGAGUGGAAUUCCGAGUGUAGAGGUGAAAUUCGUAGAUAUUCGGAGGAACACCAGUGGCGAAGGCGGCUCACUGGCCAGACACUGACGCUGAGGCGCGAAAGCGUGGGGAGCAAACAGG